UCAGUGUGGUUUUAUUCUCCAAUUCAAACAUUUUACACCAAAAGUUAAUUCAAAAACUAACAAAAGCAAAACAAGACAAAAAGCAGGAAUGAAGUGUGAAGUUUCCGUUUCCUCCUGCAGAAUGAACAAAACCUGUGAAGGCACCAGAGAUGAUUGAAACAACAUUUAACCCUUUUUUUUUAACUGAAACACACUGAAAGCUUGGAUGCAGUUUGUUCGUUGGACUCCUGUUGAGAAACCAGGAGCUGUUUGAGUCCGUAAACACAACAGAGAAGGUGAGAGGUUUCUGGUUGACUGAGAAGAUCUGAACAUGAAGGAAGCUGCUGCUGAGGCCGAAGACGAGCUGUGAAGGUUUGAGGUUUAACAUCGAGUCCAGGAGAGACACCAAACAGAAAGUCAUCCUGUGACUUCAGUAAAAAUACUGUCACGGAUCCCAGCUUCCAUCAUGGGACGAAGACGAAGCAACAAAAACAUCAGCCGGGUUUAAAUAAUGAUCCAGAAGCUGCAGCCGAGCAAACAGAGGUCCGUU
Molecule: long non-coding RNA, 529 nt
Organism: Stegastes partitus (bicolor damselfish)
Lineage: Eukaryota; Metazoa; Chordata; Actinopteri; Pomacentridae
Exons: 2
Source: RefSeq, a predicted model, not a curated record